UUUUUUCUGCCACCGGGUAGAAAAAAAUAAGCGUCAGAGUUUCUAUCGUUAGGUCUUAGAAGAUAGAAACCAUGGCGCUUUAUUUUU
This 87-nucleotide non-coding RNA is filed under the name unclassified sequences. The record is from RNAcentral.